AGUCCUGCCAGGACGGCGACAGUGAAGCACCUGGGUUGAGAGGGAGCAGCAGUGCUAUGGAUCUUCCUCAGAAGAACAUGAAGUUGCUUCUGUGGAACUGGUUAUCUGCCAUGGCCUCAACAAUCCAUAAUCCAGUCAUGGAGAGGAUUCCCCAUGGUCAGAAGUCAACUUGCACAUCUAGUUAAAGUCCAAGGUGGCGAUCUUUUCAAAGAAGCUGUACAGGCUCUUCCAUGUGUUGAUAACAAAACACUGCCUACUGAUCUGCAUGAGACACUCCAUCUCAGAGUCUACUUCCUGAAGAACUCAACAAGUAACAACUCGUACUAGGAACAAUUCAAAGCAGCAGGAGAUUCAUAGGAAUUUGGAAAAUAUGCUUAUUCACCAUCAAGCUAGCAAUAGGAUCCUAAUAUUUAAUUUGAUGGGUACAGAUAGACUCUGGUACAAAAUGGUAGUCUAGUUGUUAAAAGUUCCACUA
This 475-nucleotide long non-coding RNA is filed under the name Homo sapiens (human). RNAcentral describes it as "non-protein coding lnc-CCER1-1:3". Lineage: Eukaryota; Metazoa; Chordata; Mammalia; Primates; Hominidae. The record is from RNAcentral.